UCUCUGCCCCGCACAUGCGCGGUUUCCCCUCUCCCGAGUUCUCUGAGCGGCUUCUCCCUCUGGCCGGAGCUGUCAGCCGGUUGCCUGGAAACCUUGGCUCGAGGAGGGGGAGGGGGAGGGGGAACAAUGGAUGGUGGCGGGGCUCCUGUGUCCGCGCGUCGGGCCUGCAGACUGGAACCCGAUGACGUCACCGCGGAGCAGAGUGAUUCCUAUUGGCUGAUUCAGGCAGGGUUCCAUUGUGGACGUCACAAUGCGGAAGUUGGACAAUGAGCUUCAGACUAAAACUUCCUCCUCUGGACAACAUCUGAUAUUAGGAGGGGAGGAUUUACAGACCGAAAUUUCAAACCAAACUUCAUGUCAAGAUCUGACAGUGUCACUCAAUUCCUCAAGACCUGAAUAUCAUCAGCCUUUGACUCUGGGAGAAAUGUUUGUCUGUUCUGUCUGCUUCAUAAGAUUUCAAACAUCAAGUGACUGGAAAAACACCGAGACACACAUACCCAAGUGAGAGUGUUCCAGUGAACUGACUGUGAAAAGAGCUUUAAAGAGUUACACAGCCUGAAAAAACAUCACCGUUCACGGCGGAGAGAAACUGUACACGUGUUCUCUGUGUGAACGAAGCUUCAACUGAUCAUCGGCCAUGGAGAGACACAAGGAUACCCGCACCAUGGAGAAACCGUGGAAAUGUGGGGACUGUGGGAAGGGAUUCAAAUCCCCAUCUGCACUGGACACCCAUCGACGCAUUCACACCGGGGAGAGGCCGUUCAUCUGCUCCGUGUGUGGGAAGGGAUUCACCAAGUCAUCAAACCUGCUGACACACAAGCGAGUUCACACCGGGGAGAGGCCAUUCAUCUGCUCCGUGUGUGGAAAGAGAUUCACUGAGUCAUCCAGCCUGCGGAGACAUCAGAAACUUUUCAACUAAAUACAGAUUUUGGAUUUUGCUGUUAUUGCUGCUGUUAAUCACAUCCAGGACUAAACCACGUUCAUUCUGACAGUUGGUGAAGUGGGAGGGUCGGAGGGUUUCUUUCUGCUGGACUGGCCGGUCUCAUGACUUUGCUUCCAGUGGCUGAUGCUCUUUGGGACUUGUUGCGAAUAUCUAGUUUCAUAUUUCAUAUGAAUUACAGAAUGAAAGGGUGUUUGGAAUGGAAAAUAUUUUUAGUUUGAAACUGUUUGGAACUUUCCAGAACAUGCCAGGUUGCCAUGGAGAUGGGCUGUGCUGGUUGGAAGGUUCUUUUGUUUAAUUUUUCUGGGUGUUUCUGACAGAAGGAAACGACAAAGGUACCAGUCUAAGCUGCAUGUGGUAGAUUGGGAAACUACAUUAAAAGUUAUGAUGCUAGACACACAAUUUAA
Molecule: long non-coding RNA, 1347 nt
Organism: Carcharodon carcharias (great white shark)
Lineage: Eukaryota; Metazoa; Chordata; Chondrichthyes; Lamniformes; Lamnidae
Exons: 2
Source: RefSeq, a predicted model, not a curated record